UCCCUUAGACGUUCUGGGCCGCACGCGCGCUACACUGACCAGUGCAACAAGCAUCCGUCCUUGGCCGACAGGCCCGGGCAAUCUUUGAACGCUGGUCGUGAUGGGGAUAGACUUUUGCAAUUUUUGGUCUUCAACGAGGAAUUCCUAGUAAACGCAAGUCAUCAACUUGCAUUGAUUACGUCCCUGCCCUUUGUACACACCGCCCGUCGCACCUACCGAUUGAAUGGUCCGGUGAAGCCUCCGGAUUGGCGCGCACCUCGGUGCCGCCGAGAAGUUGGCUAAACCUUACCAUUUAGAGGAAGGUGAAGUCGUANCA
This 316-nucleotide ribosomal RNA is filed under the name uncultured eukaryote. RNAcentral's name for it is "partial 18S ribosomal RNA". It matches the Rfam family "Eukaryotic small subunit ribosomal RNA", at positions 1469 to 1796 of the family's 1831-position model. The record is from RNAcentral.